GGAUUAGAUACCCUGGUAGUCCACGCCGUAAACGAUGAGAACUAGAUGUCGGGAGGAUUUGCCUUUCGGUGUCGCAGCUAACGCGUUAAGUUCUCCGCCUGGGGAGUACGCCGGCAACGGUAAAACUCAAAGGAAUUGACGGGGACCCGCACAAGCGGUGGAGCAUGUGGUUUAAUUCGAUGCAACGCGAAGAACCUUACCUGCCCUUGACAUUGACAGAACCUUCCAGAGAUGGAGGGGUGCUUCGGCCUGGAAAACAGGUGCUGCAUGGCUGUCGUCAGCUCGUGUUG
Molecule: ribosomal RNA, 290 nt
Filed under: uncultured bacterium
Lineage: Bacteria
Description: partial 16S ribosomal RNA
Rfam family: Bacterial small subunit ribosomal RNA
Source: RNAcentral